Molecule: long non-coding RNA, 681 nt
Organism: Acanthopagrus latus (yellowfin seabream)
Lineage: Eukaryota; Metazoa; Chordata; Actinopteri; Spariformes; Sparidae
Exons: 2
Source: RefSeq, a predicted model, not a curated record
GCGUGCAUUCAAAUGUCUGUUAUUGUCCCCUGGCGCCCGACGAGGCAUCUCCAGAGCCGAAAGCGCCAUUUCCACGUCUGGAGGAGAGCUGACAGGGAGAACGCUCCCGGAGGAGCUCAGCGAAAGGAGAAAGAGACAAACAGGAGUCAGAGGAUGCAGCGGCGGUGGCACCCAGGCGUCUGCGAGGUAGGAAAGAGAGUGAGCUUGUGUCCAACCAGAGAGGGAGAGAGAGCAGGGGAGUGACAGAGGAGGAGGAGGAGGAGGAGGAGAUAGAGGCAGCAGCAGCAGCAGCGAUGUGCUGGCUUAACAGAGGGGGGAACCUAGCCUACUACUGCUGAGUAAUAUCUCAGUGUUGCACAUUUGGAGGUAACGUUUGCAGUGAUUGGUCCAGGAUUUGGUUUUAAGGGUUGGUGGGAAACACUUAAAAAAAAAAAAAAAACUGGAGCACAGAGAGGAUGGAGAGGAGUGAAGCAACAGCAGGGUGAAAAAAUAAAUAAAUAAAAAAGCAAUUCAACACCAAUUCCGAGGUUAAAAUAUAUAAAAAUGCCAACUCACUGAAGGCCAAAGGGAAACUUGGAUCCUGAAGAGGUGCAAAAAACAUCAUAACACACAGACACAUGUACUCCCACCCCCACCAUCCUCAUACAGUACAUGUAUAUAUUUUAAAUGUUCUAUUAAUAU